CCUAACACAUGCAAGUCGAACGUGAAAGGGAGCAAUCCCAAGUAAAGUGGCGUACGGGUGAGUAACGCGUAGGUAAUCUACCCCAGAGUCUGGAAUAACCGGCCGAAAGGCUGGCUAAUACUAGAUAGAGCGAUGGAAUCCGUAAUUGGGUUUUUCGGGAAAGGGAGGAAGCAAUUCCCUUUGCUCUGGGAUGAGCCUGCGUCUCAUUAGCUAGUUGGUGGGGUAAUGGCCUACCAAGGCUUUGAUGGGUAGCUGGUCUGAGAGGAUGAUCAGCCACACUGGAACUGAAACACGGUCCAGACUCCUACGGGAGGCAGCAGUGGGGAAUCUUGCGCAAUGGACGAAAGUCUGACGCAGCCACGCCGCGUGAGUGACGAAGGCCUUCGGGUUGUAAAGCUCUGUCGUCCGGGACGAAAAUCCAUUAGGUGAAUAGCCUAGUGGACUGACGGUACCGGAAAAGGAAGCACCGGCUAACUCCGUGCCAGCAGCCGCGGUAAUACGGAGGGUGCAAGCGUUGCUCGGAAUUAUUGGGCGUAAAGGGUAGGUAGGUGGUCUCAUUUGUCUAGGGUGAAAGCCUUGAGCUUAACUCAAGAAGUGCCUUAGAAACGGUGAGACUAGAGACUUGGAGAGGGUC
Molecule: ribosomal RNA, 634 nt
Filed under: uncultured marine bacterium
Lineage: Bacteria
Description: bacterial SSU rRNA
Rfam family: Bacterial small subunit ribosomal RNA
Source: RNAcentral